AGCGAACGCUGGCGGCAGGCUUAACACAUGCAAGUCGAGCGGGCACUUUCGGGUGUCAGCGGCGGACGGGUGAGUAACGCGUGGGAACGUGCCCUCUGGUUCGGAAUAACUCAGGGAAACUUGAGCUAAUACCGGAUACGCCCUUUUGGGGAAAGGCUUGCUGCCGGAGGAUCGGCCCGCGUCUGAUUAGCUAGUUGGUGAGGUAACGGCUCACCAAGGCGACGAUCAGUAGCUGGUCUGAGAGGAUGAUCAGCCACACUGGGACUGAGACCCGGCCCAGACUCCUACGGGAGGCAGCAGUGGGGAAUAUUGGACAAUGGGCGCAAGCCUGAUCCAGCCAUGCCGCGUGAGUGAUGAAGGCCUUAGGGUUGUAAAGCUCUUUUAUCCGGGACGAUAAUGACGGUACCGGAGGAAUAAGCCCCGGCUAACUUCGUG
RNAcentral lists this ribosomal RNA (435 nucleotides) under uncultured bacterium. Its description in RNAcentral is "partial 16S ribosomal RNA". It matches the Rfam family "Bacterial small subunit ribosomal RNA", at positions 29 to 507 of the family's 1533-position model. The record is from RNAcentral.